UUACACAUACCCCAAAUCUUAUCUCUAAGUACCUCAUCCAAACACAGUAUAAAGGAACUAUAAAUAAUAAAUUAGCCAUCUGUUAAACAACUGCUUGCUUCUUUUGUUCAUAAGCGAUGAAGACAAAACAAUCCAUGGAUAGGUUAUAAAGUAUUUGGACUGGGGCAAGUUCAAAUCUUAGGGGUAAUCAAGAAAUGUGUUUGGAUAGGGGUAAGUACAAAUGUCAGGGGUAAUUGAAAAUUACCCCAUAGAGGAAAAAGUAAUUCUUUAUCGAUUUCAUGAAACCGACGAGAAUCAAGUGACUACUCAUCCUCCUCAAAUUGAUUUAUUUGCUCCUUUUCACCAAUGAGAUUGCUAAUUUCAACGACAAGAGGUAUAAGAACAAGUUCU
RNAcentral lists this long non-coding RNA (390 nucleotides) under Prunus persica (peach). Its description in RNAcentral is "long non-coding RNA (PPER_LNC005452)". The record is from RNAcentral. Lineage: Eukaryota; Viridiplantae; Streptophyta; Magnoliopsida; Rosales; Rosaceae.